RNAcentral lists this ribosomal RNA (379 nucleotides) under uncultured bacterium. Its description in RNAcentral is "bacterial SSU rRNA". It matches the Rfam family "Bacterial small subunit ribosomal RNA", at positions 521 to 896 of the family's 1533-position model. The record is from RNAcentral.
UAAAACGUAGGAGACGAGCGUUAUCCGGAAUUACUGGGCGUAAAGAGCGUGUAGGCGGAGCAACAAGUUGGUCGUGAAAGCUUCCGGCUAAACUGGGAGAGGUCGAUCAAGACUGUUGGUCUCGAGUUCGACAGAGGGGUAUGGAAUUCCGGGUGUAGUGGUGAAAUGCGUAGAGAUCCGGAGGAACACCAGUGGCGAAGGCGAUGCCCUGGGUCGAAACUGACGCUAAGACGCGAAAGCAUGGGGAGCGAACGGGAUUAGAAACCCCGGUAGUCCAUGCCGUAAACGAUGCCGACUAGGUGUUCGUGAGCCGCAAGGCUUGGGAGUGCCAAAGCCAACGCGCUAAGUCGGCCGCCUGGGGAGUACGAUCGCAAGGUUA